This 1031-nucleotide ribosomal RNA is filed under the name Micrococcus endophyticus. RNAcentral's name for it is "bacterial SSU rRNA". It matches the Rfam family "Bacterial small subunit ribosomal RNA", at positions 49 to 1092 of the family's 1533-position model. Lineage: Bacteria; Bacillati; Actinomycetota; Actinomycetes; Micrococcales; Micrococcaceae. The record is from RNAcentral.
UUACCAUGCAGUCGAACGAUGAAGCCCAGCUUGCUGGGUGGAUUAGUGGCGAACGGGUGAGUAACACGUGAGUAACCUGCCCUUAACUCUGGGAUAAGCCUGGGAAACUGGGUCUAAUACCGGAUAGGAGCGCCCACCGCAUGGUGGGUGUUGGAAAGAUUUAUCGGUUUUGGAUGGACUCGCGGCCUAUCAGCUUGUUGGUGAGGUAAUGGCUCACCAAGGCGACGACGGGUAGCCGGCCUGAGAGGGUGACCGGCCACACUGGGACUGAGACACGGCCCAGACUCCUACGGGAGGCAGCAGUGGGGAAUAUUGCACAAUGGGCGAAAGCCUGAUGCAGCGACGCCGCGUGAGGGAUGACGGCCUUCGGGUUGUAAACCUCUUUCAGUAGGGAAGAAGCGAAAGUGACGGUACCUGCAGAAGAAGCACCGGCUAACUACGUGCCAGCAGCCGCGGUAAUACGUAGGGUGCGAGCGUUAUCCGGAAUUAUUGGGCGUAAAGAGCUCGUAGGCGGUUUGUCGCGUCUGUCGUGAAAGUCCGGGGCUUAACCCCGGAUCUGCGGUGGGUACGGGCAGACUAGAGUGCAGUAGGGGAGACUGGAAUUCCUGGUGUAGCGGUGGAAUGCGCAGAUAUCAGGAGGAACACCGAUGGCGAAGGCAGGUCUCUGGGCUGUAACUGACGCUGAGGAGCGAAAGCAUGGGGAGCGAACAGGAUUAGAUACCCUGGUAGUCCAUGCCGUAAACGUUGGGCACUAGGUGUGGGGACCAUUCCACGGUUUCCGCGCCGCAGCUAACGCAUUAAGUGCCCCGCCUGGGGAGUACGGCCGCAAGGCUAAAACUCAAAGGAAUUGACGGGGGCCCGCACAAGCGGCGGAGCAUGCGGAUUAAUUCGAUGCAACGCGAAGAACCUUACCAAGGCUUGACAUGUUCUCGAUCGCCGUAGAGAUACGGUUUCCCCUUUGGGGCGGGUUCACCAGUGGUGCAUGGGUUGUCGUCAGCUCGUGUCGUGAGAUGUUGGGUUAAGUCCCGCAA